This 1024-nucleotide long non-coding RNA is filed under the name Gallus gallus (chicken). RNAcentral's name for it is "long non-coding RNA NONGGAT006561". The record is from RNAcentral. Lineage: Eukaryota; Metazoa; Chordata; Aves; Galliformes; Phasianidae.
CAAUGACGAAGGUGGCCAGCUCGUUGUCAUGAUUGAGUUCUCAUCCACUUUAAUGAGCUGCAUAAAAGCUCCCCGGGUGCAUCUGCCAGCACUGACAUUGAACUGGAGACCAAACAUGGCAUUCAGUAGGGUUGAUUUCCCUGUGCUCUGGAUGCCAAGCACGGACAAGACAAAGACUCGCUUGUCGCCCAGCCUCUCAAUUAACCUGUCAAAGAUUGCUGCAACCCAUUGUAAGGGUACGUAAGAAGCAUCACCAUCCAUCAGCUCAAUGGGAUACCCUGAAACCAUCAGGUCAGCUGCAAUUUCAGGUAGUUUGAGAAUACAUUCAUCUUUGGAGUUUGUUGAUUCAAGAGCUUCAUAAAUCUGCCCUACCUCUCUCAAAAUAUGCUCAAGGCCAACGGAUGAAUCAUUGAUUUCAUUGGAAAGGGAAUCUAACCUUUUAGUCAUUACAGUUUUUGCUUUGUUUCCUUCCUCGUUUUUCUUUAUUGCCAGGAUUUGAGACCAUAAUUGAUGAUACUCUCUCUUCAGUUCAUCAAGGCGAUCUGAGGACAGAUCAUCCAUGAAGACCCUCAUCCACUGCAGGAAGUAUUUCUUGGUACUGGCUGGCUGUGACCGGAGAAAACCAAGGACUGAUUUCAUCAGCUGAUUGAGGGGGAACGCUUUCUGCAGUUGCUUUCUUCUUAUUGCAGCUUUAUCCCUUUCAAUUUGGCUCCGAUGAUGUUCUAUGCUCUUGUUUCCCUUCUCUUGUAAGCGAGUGAGUUCUCUGUCCCUUUUACACCAAUUGUACCACAGUUUUCCUUGAAGAGGCAGCAGCUUUGAUUUGAUCUCAGACAGCUUCUCUCCCUUCAGCAGCUUCACCAGCUUGUUUGCCUUUUCUUUGGCUAUCACACACUCUUCUACAUCUUCAUCAACUAAGAAGCCGUGCUGGCGAGCUGUGCCCAGGCACAUAUCAAGGCUAGAGCGUGUGCAUGAGCCCUCCAGGAGAUCUUGGAUUGUUUCUGUCAGCUCACCUAUUAAUUCUGCU